AAUUAAAUAUAAAUUAUAAUAUGAAAACUAAAAGAACAUGCAUAUUCUCUGUCAUAUGGACCUGCAUGAAUAAACUUUCUCAAUCCUUUAUCAUCUGCAACCGAAAAUAGCUGUGGAUGAUUACUAUACCUUUCUAAUGUUGUUGUCCCUGCCUCUCUUUCUCUCUCUCUGGCUCUGUUCCUGUGCUACUGAGUGUAACUACCGCCCCUCCCCCCUCUGCCCAGCGUAAAGCACAAGGCCCGCGUGCAGAGUGAAGCGGGAAAAAAGUGCGAGAGAGAGGCUGAGAGAAAGAAAAAAAAAAAAAAAAUAAGCAGCAGGCUCGGGUCUCCCUGAUCUUAACGCUGGUUGUUUUUCAGCAUGUUCCAGAGUCGGAGUCUCUGGAGGACCGGCUGCUGAGUGUGGAGGUCUCCGAGGUGAAUGUGGACCUUGUCAUGAUGAUCAUGGAAGUAGUGGCGUCCAUCGCUGCUUUUGUCAGAUUCUUGCCGCUUGCCAACAGGAUAUGCAUUGAGAUGGCCGAACCUGGUGGAUUAACACAGGUGAUGGAGAGCAAAGUCACCAAGGACUAUUUAUCUGCUUGCAGUAAAGCUGGACGUAUUGAGUCUUUGAAGAGCCUGAAACAGCGUCUGCAAGACUCUGGUGACAACCUCAAAAUGAAAACCAAGAAGACCGCAGAAUCGACUGAUGCAGUGACCAAAGGUGACUGCCAGGCGGAGAGCCAGAGGACCGAGGAGGAAGCAGGGACCCAGCCCGAUGCUGCAGCCGCCCCUGCUGGACAGCAGCCAGAGCCCAAGUGUCCUGAUGACGAGACACAGGAGGGAGAGGAGAAUGAUGGAUGGAGCAUGGCCGACAUUAAAGUUGUGGCUAAACGCAGGAGGGAGCUUGUCGGAGCUGAGGCAAAGCCAUCUCGCUCUCAGUCUCCGUGUGUUGUAGCAGAUUUCAGACUGCCUCAGUUCAACCCUAACAGCCCCAUCGGUCAGGAGUUUGUGGUCCCUAAAUCAGGAUUUUUCUGUAACAUCUGCUCUGUUUUCUGCCUGAAUGAGAAGACCGCCAAGGAACUCCACUGCUGCAGCCAGAAACACUACGACAACCUGCAGAAAUAUUAUGAGGAACGUCGACAAAGAGCUACAAAAGCUUUGUCUCAGACGUCUCCAGGCUCCGUUUCUGACUGAUGGACCUGAUCUACUGUAUUUUUAACACAUAACUGUGCAGAGUGUAUAUAUAUGUAUAUGUGUGUGUAUGUGUGUCCUGGAUGACUGUGGAUAUGUUUGCGGUUUUGUGAUUUGUUUCUUAUUUCCUGUUUUACUUUGAAAGUUCAUGUCUUAUGUCAGUGUGUUCAGUUUUACCUCUCCCCUGUCUCGUUAGCCUGAUUUCUCCCAGCUGUGUCUCCCUCCCUCCCGCACGCCCAUUCCCUAAUUACUCCCCUGUGUAUUUAAGCCCUGUGUUUUCCUGGGCUCCCUGUCGCGUCGUACCUUCAACCUGCUGUGUGUUUGUAAUGUCCAGUCCUCCAGCACCUCGCUUUAGAGUCUUGUUUUCCUUUUGUAAGUUUUAUUUUGUCAGUCAUUCUUCCAGCAAUAAAGCUGCGUUUUCAGUUUAUCAGUUUAUUCCCGUCUCCAAGAGUCCUGCAUUUUUGCGUCCACCGCUUCUGCUCGCCUGCCACACAGCCAACCAUGACAAUAGCAGAAUCUAGUAUAACAUGGAAACACCUACCUGAAACACAGACUUUAUGUAUUUUAAGUACUUGAGUAAAUGUUCCCACUACUAUCUGCACUCACUUCUGAAGAUAUUUAGACUAGUGAGAGAACUCUGAGCUCCUCCGCUUCAUGUGAGAUUCACUUUCCACUGUUUCCUUUCUUUCUUUCUUUUUUUUAAAUCCC
Astatotilapia calliptera (eastern happy) is the source of this 1874-nucleotide long non-coding RNA. The record is from Ensembl. NCBI's taxonomy places the organism in Eukaryota, Metazoa, Chordata, Actinopteri, Cichliformes, Cichlidae.